RNAcentral lists this non-coding RNA (21 nucleotides) under Caenorhabditis elegans. Lineage: Eukaryota; Metazoa; Nematoda; Chromadorea; Rhabditida; Rhabditidae. The record is from RNAcentral.
UUUGCUUGGAAUCGUCACUUU